GUGCUCAGUGCAUCACAUCUCUGCCUCACUGAUUCUGCACUGAUCCAGCCACCCUGGGAAGGGUUUUCCUGUCCCCUCACCAUGUUGUCUGGAGAGGAAGGAAGGGAGAGAACACCAAGAUAAGAUGGCCCUCUAUCCUUCUUCUCUUACUGAUGCUCUUGACCUGAGUUCCUUGGGUGCUCCUCUGCGAUCUACCAAGGUGCAAAAUUUGCAAAAUUAUCUCCUGCCUCCAAUCCCAGCCUUCUCCCAUCUGUGGGAUGCUCCCUCCAGUUCUGUCUGGCUUCACUGCAGAUAAAAGAAUGGGAAAACAAAUCCAUGUGCUGGAACCCUGUGGCUGUGCCUUCCCAAGAGUGUUUGGGGUGACCCCUGUGAUGUGCACUGCCCUCCUGAAGCAGCUGCUGGAAGAAUCACUCCCCUGUCCUGAGCUCACAGCUGCAGACUGGAGUAAUUUGCUGACGCUGUAGAAGGAAUUGUCUCUCCUGGAGACCUGGCUGGUGUGAUCAGAACUCACAUAUGGUACCAGAACAAAGGGCCCUUCAGGACCUUUGUGGUAUCUGCUGCAGUCCAAGAGCCUUGACCCCAACUUCUGAGGGAGGAAUCAGAAAAGUUCCUUCAAUUCAAAGAAACCAGUGGCAAUUUCUGGAAGAAGAAUGUUGAGACUCAAACCUGGACUUCCAGCCUGAAUGUCCAUCAGGCCUUGAUAACCAAAAUGCACCAGGAAGAGGAGCAAUAACUGCAUUGCUGUAUGCCAGAGAUCAAUGGGCAGAACACCCUGCAAGGGCCUGAGAGGGCUCCCAGCUUGCCUGAAAUUCAUGAAUCCAAAUGGAAAAGAGAAAAUGGCAAAUGACACUUAAUCCCAAAGUGAGCAAAGCUGUCCUUGUGUCCAGAGGAACAACUGACAGCUGACACAGGACUGGGAUCUCCAGGGAUCUCUGCAGGAGCAAUGUCUCCUCUGGGGAAGAUUAAAGCUUGGUGCAAACUCCAAGGUCACCUCUGUGUGAGCAGUGGGAAAGGGGCAGUGUAAAACCCGGGAUCACCUGAGCUCGCUGGCAUCCAGCUGCUUGGCAGUGCUGGGGUUUAUUGCCCUGGAGAUUCCACAAAGAGCAUUCACCCAUCAGGAGCUCUGGGCUCUGCAGAGUCUGAUGGAUAUCCUGAAAAAUUUUGGAGUGACAGUUUGGAGGGUAGCUGGCAAAACACGAGCCAGUAAGACAUUGUAGAACGAUGAGUUCACAAGCAGAAAUUUUUAGAGAGGGAAUUUGAGAAUGAAAGAGUAAUUCCACCAACCUUCACCAUUCAUUUAUUUAAAUUUUUGCUAUAAAAUGGACAGCAGAGGAAAGUCAAGACUUGCACUGAUGAUUUUUCAUUCUCUUCCCCCCCUGCCCCUGAUCUUUUAUUUAUUAAACUGCUCUGGGUGCGCCUUUCAAAUGACUUUUUUUGGCUUACUGUUUAUUAUGUCUUCAUCAGCCUUGAAAUGGCAGCUGCAGGCAGCUUGAUAAAUGGAUCGAAAAGCUGCUCCUGCCAGAGUCAAACUAACAAAAAGCCCUCAAUAUCCAUAAGCUUUUUUGUUUUAGCAUUUCUAAAACAAGCACUAUUUCCCUCAAAGCAUCACUGCAGAGUGAUGCACCAGUACCCCUGAGUGUUUCAACAAAGGGAUUUUUUUAUCCAGUGGUGCCCAGGGCAGAAGUUCCUCACUGGGUCAUGGACAGGAUUCAGCCUGCAGCUCUGGAGAGCAAGGGCAGAGAAAGAGAGAUAGAGAUGGAGAGAGAGAGAGAGAGAGAGAGAGGGAAAGAAAGAGAAAAAGAAAGAUGUGGUCUUAGGAAAGCUGAGAAAAUCUUCACUCCAAAAUGUGCUGGGCAGAUCAAUGGAGUAAAUGAGGCAAAAUGUAUGAAGUUGCUCACAGAGAUUUGCAGCUUCCAUGCAGCUAUUUUUUACCCAGAUGCUUUCUGAACUCUUCAUUUCCUCCCAAUCCUUCUUUAAAUAUGAACAGCUCAAUAUAUCCCUGGUUCAAACCUUUUGUCCUUACACAUUCCAUAAGUGUAUUAUGGACUAUAAUACACUUAUAUUCCACAGUUGGCCCAGCCUGGCAGUAAACAAGGGUUUAGCUACUGUGGCUUAUUGACAGUGGUGAAUGGUGCAGUCCCAUCUGUGAAGGUAUAAAAUACCCACAAGAAAAUAAAUACCCCAGAAGAAAGCGGUAAGGAACCGUCCAGGUGAAAACCUGCCAUGUUAUCUGUUUACAGCACAAAUGUUUCAGCAAAGGAAGGGUGAGGGGGGAAAAUUCACCACCAAAAAAUACCAAACCAAACAAACAAACAAACAAAAAAAAACCCAACAAACAAACAACUGAAAAAGGAAUGAAAGUGUGUGGCUUGUGAGAGGAAGGAAGAGCUCUAGUGGUGAAAACUGCCGGCAGAAUGACAGAGGCUUGUGCUCUGCUCCUCACUAAGGUUGUUUCAGCUCUACAUGCAAAGGUGAUGAAUAUGCAAAUAAAGAAUGUGAAUCUCCCCUGGCCUGAGCUGUUGGUGUAGAAUUUGGCACCGUGGAUCACCCUGACAGCAGUGCACCCCACUCUCCUGACACCUUCUCGGCACCCAGCAAGGUGUCUGUCUCUGCCAGAGUUCAUAAUCUUCCUGUCUCUGUCCUUACCCACUGGCUCUCUCUGGCUCUCUCUGGCUGUCUCUGCUGUCUGUGUCACCGAGGGGCUGCCAAGGUCCUGGCUGCUUAGGGACACACCUUCCCAGUAGUGAUUCCAGUGCCAUAGCCACGCUGUGGUUUUUCUUUCCUAAUUAUGGGGAGCCACAAUCACUGAGUUAUUGCAGUCACCCAGCCCUCUCUCCUUUUUUUUCUGUCUGCUCCACUGCCUCUUCAGAACUGCCUGGGUUCAGGAAUAAUUUUGCUGCUCCUUGGGGCAGGAGGUGAGUGUGGGACAGAGGGAUGGAUGCUGCUUUUCACUCCCUGGAAAGAUGUGGCUGCCCAAGGCUGUGCAGGCAGGAAUGUUAAUGGGAUAAGAGGUAAGAGAGCAGAAGGUAGCUGGACCCUGUGAUUCUCUGGUUAUUUAGAAUGCAUAAUUGCAGUUUGUUUAACACCAAAGGAUAACUGAUCAUUCACAGCAAAGAAGCCAGUGGUGCGGAUCAAUAUUUCUAUUGCCCUGCUGGAAAAAUAGCAGAAAAGGAAUGGCUCUUUAAUGAUUACAGCAGAGCAGAAGAAGCCUGUGCUAAAGGCUGUUUGUAGCAGGGGCCAGCAGAGGGUUUGUGCAGUGCUGGCUCUCAUUUCAGACUUGAGGUUCCCUGAAUGACUGUGGAUGAUGUACCCUGCACUCCAGAGGUGGCUUGGCUGGAGACAGGGCAGAGAACAGCUCUGCCAUCCUUGAUCUAGAGAGAAAAAUUAACUAAUCCUGAAGGUAAAAUAAGGAAUAUAUGUGGGACUGUUACUUGAGUAUAUCUCAACUGAGCAUUUCAGCCUUCAUUUUCUACUCACACCAUACUGCUGAAUAUUUUUUUCUGCAGGCAUAAGAGUUACUAAGAGCUGACUUCACUUGGCACAGCCAGAGCUGGAUUUGCACUGGCACCUGUGGGAUCCUGUGGUAGAAGCACAGACAAAUUUGGUAAAACACAGUUUUACCAAAAUGUUUAGCUGAAAGUUUUUGUUUCCAAUUAAAUAUUUGUUGAGCCUUUCUUGGAGGGUCGUAUGGAAUGAGGAAGUGACUCUUUGAAUGGGGUUCUGUGUAGGAAUUCUUUAUUAUAGGCACUGACAAGGAAUAUGGCUCUGAAUUAACUAUAUCUGAGCUUGUACUUGUUUUGGCCAUGAAUCAAUAUCCUGAUUUCUCAUCCAGAGCUUGCAUCUUGUAUAUAAUUAUUCUGCCAUGCCCCGUGAAACAAAAGACUGAGAACUGUCCCAGAACAAGAGUAAUUUCUAAGUCGGUUUGGAUGAGGUGGCCAAUCCUGACUGACCACCCCUGAACCUUGUGCUGAGCUUACCCAGCAAUAGGCCACUAAAUAGUUUAGAGGAAAAAAGAAAUGAAGAAUCUUUACAUCAUAAAUCAACACCGGGGGAGCUGGAGCAGGUUUUUUCUUGGGGUGUCCACAAAUGCAGGCUCAGAGCCCGAGGCUUCUGGCAAUCAGGGCACCGCAGGGCUCAGUCCCACAGGUUUCCCUGGCACAAGACUGACCUCCAGUGGCACUGACUUGUGUGGUUGGGCCGUGAAUCUGGGGAGGAUGUGUACAAAUGCUCUUUAGAGGCCACACGUUCAGUUUUCAGGGCAGAUAUUUGCUCCUUGCCUUCUUCAGACCUUUCCAGCAUAAGCACAGAUGUUGGGGACAGUCUCCUGCUGAGCUGGUAAAUGUGACGUGGUUCAGCUGAGGUGGAAAAUUCUGAAAAUGUUCUCAUUAAAUAGGAAGGAAAUAUCCUACCUCUGGCUUCUCUCCCUGCAGGCCAAAGUGGUGAGAAAGAAAGAAGCAAAAGAGAAAGGGAAGAAGCUGAAAUUUUUGGGGCAGAGUGAAUUUCACUCUGCCCCAAAAAUUUUCAA
Molecule: long non-coding RNA, 4525 nt
Organism: Passer domesticus (house sparrow)
Lineage: Eukaryota; Metazoa; Chordata; Aves; Passeriformes; Passeridae
Exons: 5
Source: RefSeq, a predicted model, not a curated record